RNAcentral lists this ribosomal RNA (518 nucleotides) under uncultured bacterium. RNAcentral describes it as "bacterial SSU rRNA". It matches the Rfam family "Bacterial small subunit ribosomal RNA", at positions 8 to 521 of the family's 1533-position model. The record is from RNAcentral.
AGAGUUUGAUCCUGGCUCAGAUUGAACGCUGGCGGCAUGCUUUACACAUGCAAGUCGAACGGCAGCACGGGGGCAACCCUGGUGGCGAGUGGCGAACGGGUGAGUAAUACAUCGGAACGUAUCCUUGAGUGGGGGAUAACGCAGCGAAAGUUGUGCUAAUACCGCAUGAGCUCUGAGGAGGAAAGUGGGGGACCGUAAGGCCUCACGCUGAAGGGGCGGCCGAUGUCCGAUUAGCUAGUUGGUGAGGUAAAGGCUCACCAAGGCUUCGAUCGGUAGCUGGUCUGAGAGGAUGAUCAGCCACACUGGGACUGAGACACGGCCCAGACUCCUACGGGAGGCAGCAGUGGGGAAUUUUGGACAAUGGGGGCAACCCUGAUCCAGCCAUGCCGCGUGAGUGAAGAAGGCCUUCGGGUUGUAAAGCUCUUUCGUGAGGGAAGAAACGGCCAUAGUGAAUAGCUGUGGUUACUGACGGUACCUCAAGAAGAAGCACCGGCUAACUACGUGCCAGCAGCCGCGGU